This 274-nucleotide ribosomal RNA is filed under the name uncultured bacterium. RNAcentral's name for it is "partial small subunit ribosomal RNA". It matches the Rfam family "Bacterial small subunit ribosomal RNA", at positions 26 to 284 of the family's 1533-position model. The record is from RNAcentral.
AGAAUCAACGCUGGCGGCGUGCCUAACACAUGCAAGUCGAACGCGAAAGGUCCCGCAACGGGAUUAGUAGAGUGGCGAACGGGUGAGUAACACGUGGGUGACCUACCUUCGAAUGGGGGAUAACGUCCCGAAAGGGACGACUAAUACCGCAUAACAUCCUGCCUUUGAACAGGCGGAGAUCAAAGCCGGGGAUCGCAAGACCUGGCGUUUGAAGAGGGGCCCGCGUCUGAUUAGCUAGUUGGUGAGGUAACGGCUCACCAAGGCGACGAUCAGU